RNAcentral lists this long non-coding RNA (217 nucleotides) under Panax ginseng (ginseng). RNAcentral's name for it is "long non-coding RNA (PGIN_LNC003337)". The record is from RNAcentral. Lineage: Eukaryota; Viridiplantae; Streptophyta; Magnoliopsida; Apiales; Araliaceae.
GUAUAAUCAUGACCGUAGAGUUACAAAUGAUGUGAUAAAAGUCAUCAUUGGCCCGUAGUGCAUUGAUGGACAGUUGUUGACAUGAUCAUGACCAUUGAUGAAUACACAAAUAUCCUUGGCCCGUAGUGCAUGGAAUUUGUGGUCGUAACCCUAAUGAAUAUCCUUGGUCGUAGUGCAGGGAUGAUGUGGAUUAUUUAUUAAGCUGAGUCCCAGCGAU